GACGAACGCUGGCGGCGUGCUUAACACAUGCAAGUCGAGCGAGAAACCUUCGGGUUUCUAGCGGUGGACGGGUGAGUAACACGUGGGUAACCUGCCUCAUAGAGGGGGAUAGCCUCCCGAAAGGAAGAUUAAUACCGCAUAAUAUUACAGUUUCGCAUGAAGCAGUAAUUAAAGGAGUAAUCCGCUUUGAGAUGGACCCGCGGCGCAUUAGCUAGUUGGAGAGGUAACGGCUCACCAAGGCAACGAUGCGUAGCCGGCCUGAGAGGGUGAUCGGCCACAUUGGAACUGAGACACGGUCCAGACUCCUACGGGAGGCAGCAGUGGGGAAUAUUGCACAAUGGGCGAAAGCCGGAUGCAGCAACGCCGCGUGAGUGAUGAAGGUCUUCGGAUUGUAAAGCCCUGUCUUUUGGGGCGAUAAUGACGGUACCAAAGGAGGAAGCCACGGCUAACUACGUGCCAGCCGCCGCAGUAA
RNAcentral lists this ribosomal RNA (472 nucleotides) under uncultured bacterium. RNAcentral describes it as "partial 16S ribosomal RNA". It matches the Rfam family "Bacterial small subunit ribosomal RNA", at positions 28 to 523 of the family's 1533-position model. The record is from RNAcentral.